This 253-nucleotide ribosomal RNA is filed under the name uncultured bacterium. RNAcentral describes it as "partial 16S ribosomal RNA". It matches the Rfam family "Bacterial small subunit ribosomal RNA", at positions 524 to 776 of the family's 1533-position model. The record is from RNAcentral.
UACGUAGGGUGCAAGCGUUGUCCGGAAUUAUUGGGCGUAAAGAGCUCGUAGGCGGUUUGUUGCGUCGGCUGUGAAAUCCCGAGGCUCAACCUCGGGUCUGCAGUCGAUACGAGCAAACUAGAGUGUUGCAGGGGAGACUGGAAUUCCUGGUGUAGCGGUGAAAUGCGUAGAUAUCGGGAGGAAUACCGAUGGCGAAGGCAGGUCUCUGGGCUAUAACUGACGCUCAUGCACGAAAGCGUGGGGAGCAAACAGG